Aspergillus bombycis is the source of this 89-nucleotide transfer RNA. It matches the Rfam family "tRNA". From Rfam's summary of the family: Transfer RNA (tRNA) molecules are approximately 80 nucleotides in length. The record is from Rfam. Lineage: Eukaryota; Fungi; Ascomycota; Eurotiomycetes; Eurotiales; Aspergillaceae.
UCCUCGAUGGUCUAACGGUCAUGAUUUCCGCUUGUCAUCUCAUACGAGAACAAGCGCGGGAGACCUGGGUUCGACUCCCAGUCGGGGAG